GAUGAACGCUGGCGGCGUGCUUAACACAUGCAAGUCGAACGAGAAAUGGAGACGGAAACCUUCGGGCGGAAGGCUUCAUUUCGAGUGGCGGACGGGUGAGUAACGCGUGGGUAACCUGUCUCAUACAGGGGGAUAACAGUUGGAAACGACUGUUAAUACCGCAUAAGACCACAGCACCGCAUGGUGCGGGGGUAAAAACUCCGGUGGUAUGAGAUGGACCCGCGUUCGAUUAGCCAGUUGGCGGGGUAACGGCCCACCAAAGCGACGAUCGAUAGCCGAUCUGAGAGGAUGACCGGCCACAUUGGGACUGAGACACGGCCCAAACUCCUACGGGAGGCAGCAGUGGGGAAUAUUGCACAAUGGGGGAAACCCUGAUGCAGCGACGCCGCGUGAGUGAAGAAGUACUUCGGUAUGUAAAGCCCUAUCAGCAGGGAAGAAAAUGACGGUACCUGAGUAAGAAGCCCCGGCUAACUACGUG
Molecule: ribosomal RNA, 478 nt
Filed under: uncultured bacterium
Lineage: Bacteria
Description: partial 16S ribosomal RNA
Rfam family: Bacterial small subunit ribosomal RNA
Source: RNAcentral